This 333-nucleotide long non-coding RNA is filed under the name Equus asinus (donkey). RNAcentral describes it as "lncRNA (ENSEASG00005028696.1)". The record is from RNAcentral. Lineage: Eukaryota; Metazoa; Chordata; Mammalia; Perissodactyla; Equidae.
CUCUGUGAACUGAAACCCUACUAAUUUCAAAGGGCUCUUUGGCCUGGGAGAAGGGAGUUGAACAUUGGAAAAAACAAGACCCUAACUGAAAUGUUAAAGGAGAAAGUUCUAAGGCUCAGUUGUAGAAUUAGAAUUUCAUGCUGACAUUAGAAUAGUCAUUCUCGUGUUAUUUGUCUUCUUAAAUCAUCCCCACGUAGCUGGACAAGAACACGGUGUGCACACGCUCUGUGAUAAAUACCAGGGCAUCGGACAGUGGAAACAUGAAGGUGCGUGCCCAGAUAGAAGCCAUUUCCCCAUUCCAUCCCAGCACGAGACUGCUGCCCACAGCCCGUC